Molecule: ribosomal RNA, 775 nt
Filed under: uncultured Neocallimastigales
Lineage: Eukaryota; Fungi; Neocallimastigomycota; Neocallimastigomycetes; Neocallimastigales
Description: partial large subunit ribosomal RNA
Rfam family: Eukaryotic large subunit ribosomal RNA
Source: RNAcentral
GUAGUCUCGCACAGAUGCAUAUCAAUAAGCGGAGGAAAAGAAACUAACAAGGAUUCCCCUAGUAACGGCGAGUGAAGCGGGAAGAGCUCAAAUUUGAAAUCUUAAAGGGUUUCCCUUUACGAAUUGUAGUUUAAAGAAGUGUUUUCUGUUGAGGUUUUGGUAAAAGUUCUUUGGAAUAGGACAUCAUAGAGGGUGAGAAUCCCGUAUUUGACCUUUACUUUCAACUUUGUGAUACACUUUCAAAGAGUCGGAUUGUUUGGGAAUGCAGUCCAAAAUGCGGUGGUAAAUUUCAUCUAAAGCUAAAUAUUGGCGAGAGACCGAUAGCGAACAAGUACCGUGAGGGAAAGAUGAAAAGAACUUUGAAAAGAGAGUUAAACAGUACGUGAAAUUGUCAAAAGGGAAGCGUUUGACACCAGUGUUGUUUUUCUGAAAAUCAAUUAAAGAACUGUUUAUGCUAAGUUGUUUAGACUUUAUCAGCUAACUGUUUAGUUUUGAGCUUUUCUUUAAUGCACUUUUCAGUUAACAAGUCAACAUCAAUUUCUUUUGCUGUAAAAAAGCUUGAGGAAGGUGGCUUGAGAUUCGUCUUAAGUGUUUAUAGCCUCUUGCCUAUGCAGUCGGAGAGAUUGAGGUCUGCAGCGUAGAUCCUUCGGGGCUAAAUGCAUUUGUGCUAAGUUAUAGCAUUUUAUAGACAACUUGUUGACUAUGAUUUGUCUUGUAGCUUACUCGCUUAUGUUAUUUUACCUACGCUUAGGAUGUUGACGCGCGUGUGUGCGUG